This 180-nucleotide ribosomal RNA is filed under the name uncultured Glomeromycotina. Its description in RNAcentral is "partial small subunit ribosomal RNA". Lineage: Eukaryota; Fungi; Glomeromycota. The record is from RNAcentral.
GACUCGGUUGGGCGGUCCGCUUAACGGCGUGUACUGUCUGACUGGGCCUUACCUCUUGGUGAGCCAGUGUGCCCUUUAUUGGUGUGCAUUGGGGAACCAGGACUUUUACCUUGAGAAAAUUAGAGUGUUCAAAGCAGGCAAUCGAGCCUUGAAUACUUCAGCAUGGGAUAAUGGAACAGG